AAUAGAUACCCGGGUAGUCCACGCGGUAAACGAUGUCAACUAGCCGUUGGGGGUCUUCGUGCCCUCGGUGGCGUAGCUAAUGCGCUAAGUUGACCGCCUGGGGAGUACGGUCGCAAGAUUAAAACUCAAAUGAAUUGACGGGGGCCCGCACAAGCGGUGGAGCAUGUGGUUUAAUUCGACGCAACGCGAAGAACCUUACCAGGUCUUGACAUCCAGAGAACUUUCCAGAGAUGGAUUGGUGCCUUCGGGAACUCUGAGACAGGUGCUGCAUGGCUGUCGUCAGCUCGUGUCGUGAGAUGUUGGGUUAAGUCCCGUAACGAGCGCAACCCUUAUCCUUAUUUGCCAGCGGGUUAUGCCGGGAACGUUUAAGGAGACUGCCGGUGACAAACCGGAGGAAGGUGGGGAGUGACGUCAAGUCAUCAUGGCCCUUACGACCUGGGCUACACACGUGCUACAAUGGCGCGCACAGAGGGCCGCAACCCCGCGAGGGUGAGCAAGUCCCACAAAACGCGUCGUAGUCCGGAUUGGAGUCUGCAACUCGACU
Molecule: ribosomal RNA, 544 nt
Filed under: uncultured bacterium
Lineage: Bacteria
Description: bacterial SSU rRNA
Rfam family: Bacterial small subunit ribosomal RNA
Source: RNAcentral